CCUGCUGCAGCCGGCAGCACGUCACUCCAUGCGGGAGGGGAGCCCCACCUAAGGUUCUUGGCCAUAAAAUAUGGCUUUUGGAAAAAUAAAGCUGAGACUUGGAGUUCACGGUGGGGGCUCCCCCAUCUGUGAACAGAAGCAGAAGUUUGGAACUGCCUUCUUUACUGCUCGAGAGGGAAAACUUGAGUGAAAACCAGGAUGCUGGCGAAUGUUGAGUAGCUAAGCUGCACAGGAAAUACCACUUGAUGACCUGCGAUCUGGGGAAGCCGCGCCAGGGCUCUGCGAAGCUGCGGACGAGGGAGGCGUCAGUGUGGGGGCUGCAGCUCAGCUCCGGGGGGGACGCGCCUUUCUCCACGGGACCUGGGGCUCAGGUGCUCACGAGGCUGGGGCGCUGCAGGCCACCCGCAGGGGAAACUGAGGCCCUCCAUUUUGUGGGGCUGGAAGACCUUUCCUUCCAAAAGCAGGUGUAGGCGGGAGCACCUGUGCAGUCCCUCUGUUCAGAUCCUCACCCACUUUUAAAUCAGGAAACAGCAGAUGAAAUGCACAGUGUGAAGGACAAGGAUUCUGCUGAGAGAAUUGCUCCGAGGGUUGCUCAAGUGAUCAUGGGAAAUAAUGCAUCAAACCAUUCUUUAGAUGCAGCUCAGGUGUGCCUUUUCUUCGCCUGUGCCCAUCCACCUGAGAUGGACCAUAACCAUAAAAGUCAGAAGGCACUGACCCUUCAGGACGUGACAGGGUUAAAAGAUGCUGGAGGGAAAGUCUGUCAUUGACUUUUAUUCACUUCCUUUCUCCAUUCUGCCAUUUGGAAGAAGCCCUGGCCACGCUUUCCCAUCACCUCCUCCAGGUGGGUGCAGCAGCAGAAGGAAAGGCUGCUUGAAGUUGGUUCAAAAGAAAAGAGGAGGGGAGGAAUGAAUUUCUGGCGUUGAGACCUAGUAACUGUUUUCAAGGACAUAGGAUGGUUGCUGGAGGGGAGAAGGAGUAUCAACAGAAGUCUAUUUGGAAUUUCUUUUUUUUGUGUGGGAAGAUGCACGUAAAAUAAAAUUUUCCAUUUUAA
This 1051-nucleotide long non-coding RNA is filed under the name Homo sapiens (human). Its description in RNAcentral is "long intergenic non-protein coding RNA 2236". The record is from RNAcentral. Lineage: Eukaryota; Metazoa; Chordata; Mammalia; Primates; Hominidae.